UACGAAGGGGGCUAGCGUUGCUCGGAAUCACUGGGCGUAAAGGGUGCGUAGGCGGGUCUUUAAGUCAGGGGUGAAAUCCUGGAGCUCAACUCCAGAACUGCCUUUGAUACUGAAGAUCUUGAGUUCGGGAGAGGUGAGUGGAACUGCGAGUGUAGAGGUGAAAUUCGUAGAUAUUGGGAAGAACACCGGUGGCGAAGGCGGCCAUCUGGACCACUACUGACGCUGAGGCGCGAAAGCGUGGGGAGCAAACAGGAUUAGAAACCCGGGUAGU
This 271-nucleotide ribosomal RNA is filed under the name uncultured bacterium. RNAcentral's name for it is "partial 16S ribosomal RNA". It matches the Rfam family "Bacterial small subunit ribosomal RNA", at positions 524 to 794 of the family's 1533-position model. The record is from RNAcentral.